GUUUUGGCUGACAUAAGUUGUUUCUCUAGAUCCUUUAUCUUCAAAGCAAUCUUGUUAAUCUCGUUGUUAGCAACUGCUUUCUCAAGAUAGCAUUUUUUGAGUUUACCCUCCUCUUCUUGCAACUUGCUUCGGAGCUGAGUUUGCUUAUCGUUGUUUAACAUCAAAUCAUUCAAAUGACAUUUAAUCGGUAUUAGAUCAAAU
Molecule: unclassified non-coding RNA, 201 nt
Filed under: Hevea brasiliensis (rubber tree)
Lineage: Eukaryota; Viridiplantae; Streptophyta; Magnoliopsida; Malpighiales; Euphorbiaceae
Source: RNAcentral